UACUAGAGUAGCACUCGCAUAUCAAUAAGCGGAGGAAAAGAAACUAACAAGGAUUCCCCUAGUAAUGGCGAGUGAAGCGGGAAGAGCUCAAAUUUGAAAUCUUAAAGGGUUUCCCUUUACGAAUUGUAGUUUAAAGAAGUGUUUUCUGUUGAGGUUUUGGUAAAAGUUCUUUGGAAUAGGACAUCAUAGAGGGUGAGAAUCCCGUAUUUGACCUUUACUUUCAACUUUGUGAUACACUUUCAAAGAGUCGGAUUGUUUGGGAAUGCAGUCCAAAAUGGGUGGUAAAUUUCAUCUAAAGCUAAAUAUUGGCGAGAGACCGAUAGCGAACAAGUACCGUGAGGGAAAGAUGAAAAGAACUUUGAAAAGAGAGUUAAACAGUACGUGAAAUUGUCAAAAGGGAAGCGUUUGACACCAGUGUUGUUUUUCUGAAAAUCAAUUAAAGAACUGUUUAUGCUAAGCUUGUUUAGACUUUAUCAGCUAUACUGUUUAGUUUUGAGCUUUUCUUUAAUGCACUUUUCAGUUAACAAGUCAACAUCAAUUUCUUUUGCUGUAAAAAAGCUUGAGGAAGGUGGCUUGAGAUUCGUCUUAAGUGUUUAUAGCCUCUUGCCUAUGCAGUCGGAGAGAUUGAGGUCUGCAGCGUAGAUCCUUCGGGGCUAAAUGCAUUUGUGCUAAGUUAUAGCAUUUUAUAGACAACUUGUUGACUAUGAUUUGUCUUGUAGCUUACUCGCUUAUGUUAUUUUACCUACGCUUAGGAUGUUGAUCUCUCACAGUCGAGC
Molecule: ribosomal RNA, 776 nt
Filed under: uncultured Neocallimastigales
Lineage: Eukaryota; Fungi; Neocallimastigomycota; Neocallimastigomycetes; Neocallimastigales
Description: partial large subunit ribosomal RNA
Rfam family: Eukaryotic large subunit ribosomal RNA
Source: RNAcentral